RNAcentral lists this ribosomal RNA (253 nucleotides) under uncultured bacterium. RNAcentral describes it as "partial 16S ribosomal RNA". It matches the Rfam family "Bacterial small subunit ribosomal RNA", at positions 524 to 776 of the family's 1533-position model. The record is from RNAcentral.
UACGAAGGGGGCUAGCGUUGUUCGGAUUUACUGGGCGUAAAGCGCACGUAGGCGGAUUGUUAAGUCAGGGGUGAAAUCCUGGAGCUCAACUCCAGAACUGCCUUUGAUACUGGCAAUCUUGAGUCCGGAAGAGGUGAGUGGAACUCCUAGUGUAGAGGUGGAAUUCGUAGAUAUUCGGAGGAACACCAGAAGCGAAGGCGGCUCACUGGCCCGAUACUGACGCUGAGGCGCGAAAGCGUGGGGAGCAAACAGG